UGGGGAAUAUUGGACAAUGGGCGAAAGCCUGAUCCAGCCAUGCCGCGUGUGUGAAGAAGGUCUUCGGAUUGUAAAGCACUUUAAGUUGGGAGGAAGGGCAUUAACCUAAUACGUUAGUGUUUUGACGUUACCGACAGAAUAAGCACCGGCUAACUCUGUGCCAGCAGCCGCGGUAAUACAGAGGGUGCAAGCGUUAAUCGGAAUUACUGGGCGUAAAUCGCGCGUAGGUGGUUUGUUAAGUUGGAUGUGAAAUCCCCGGGCUCAACCUGGGAACUGCAUUCAAAACUGACUGACUAGAGUAUGGUAGAGGGUGGUGGAAUUUCCUGUGUAGCGGUGAAAUGCGUAGAUAUAGGAAGGAACCCCAGUGGCGAAGGCGACCACCUGGACUAAUACUGACACUGAGGUGCGAAAGCGUGGGGAGCAAACA
RNAcentral lists this ribosomal RNA (427 nucleotides) under uncultured bacterium. Its description in RNAcentral is "partial 16S ribosomal RNA". It matches the Rfam family "Bacterial small subunit ribosomal RNA", at positions 355 to 774 of the family's 1533-position model. The record is from RNAcentral.